UACGUAGGGUGCGAGCGUUAAUCGGAAUUACUGGGCGUAAAGCGUGCGCAGGCGGUUUUUUAAGAUAGGCGUGAAAUCCCCGGGCUCAACCUGGGAACUGCGCUUAUGACUGGAAGACUAGAGUAUGGCAGAGGGGGGUGGAAUUCCACGUGUAGCAGUGAAAUGCGUAGAGAUGUGGAGGAACACUGAUGGCGAAGGCAGCCCCCUGGGCCAAUACUGACGCUCAUGCACGAAAGCAUGGGGAGCAAACAGG
RNAcentral lists this ribosomal RNA (253 nucleotides) under uncultured bacterium. RNAcentral describes it as "partial 16S ribosomal RNA". It matches the Rfam family "Bacterial small subunit ribosomal RNA", at positions 524 to 776 of the family's 1533-position model. The record is from RNAcentral.